AACUGAGAAAAUCGAGAAAGAGGGAGGAAGAAAAAAAUGAAGAAAGAAGAAGAAGAAGAAAAAGAAGAAGUGGGUUUUCAAUUUUGGGGAGCUCCAUUUCUUCAAUUUCUCAUUUGAUUUUGAGAGGAAAAUACUCAAGGCAUCUUGGUAAGGGAAUAUGAUUUACUAGAGCGAGUGCGUAAUAUCAUACUUGAUAUUUGAAGUAGAAGCGGUGACGAAAAGAUUGAAACCAUGGUCGACUAUUACUUGAUAGAAAACAGACAAAUUGAGCAGCUUUGGAGCAUGUCGAACCACCGAAUUGAGCCACGCGUCAUAGGUUGUAUGACAUCUUUUAUCAGAUUAUACAUUGUGUUCUUUUGGGAUACACAUAGGUUAAAUCAGAAAAGUUCAUUAUGGGCUCAUUAGAUAUUUGGUAUCUUUAGUACUUUUGAAGAUUAUUGGCUGUAAAGCAAGUAAAUAUUGAUUUCCUAGCAUUUUAUUUAAAUAGUUUGUAUUUUUGAGGGACU
Molecule: long non-coding RNA, 506 nt
Filed under: Olea europaea (common olive)
Lineage: Eukaryota; Viridiplantae; Streptophyta; Magnoliopsida; Lamiales; Oleaceae
Description: long non-coding RNA (OEUR_LNC008939)
Source: RNAcentral